CCUACGGGUGGCAGCAGUGAGGAAUAUUGGUCAAUGGGCACGAGCCUGAACCAGCCAAGUAGCGUGAAGGAUGACUGCCCUGCGGAUUGUAAACUUCUUUUGUAAAGGAAUAAAGUGAGGCACGUGUGCCUGUUUGUAUGUACCUUAUGAAUAAGGAUCGGCUAACUCCGUGCCAGCAGCCGCGGUAAUACGGAGGAUCCGAGCGUUAUCCGGAUUUAUUGGGUUUAAAGGGAGCGUAGAUGGGUUGUUAAGUCAGUUGUGAAAGUUUGCGGCUCAACCGUAAAAGUGCAAUUGAUACUGGCAGCCUUGAGUACAGUAGAGGUAGGCGGAAUUCGUGGUGUAGCGGUGAAAUGCUUAGAUAUCACGAAGAACUCCGAGUGCGAAGGCAGCCUACUAGACUGCCACUGACGUUGAGGCACGAAAGUGUGGGUAUCAAACAGGAUUAGAUACCCUGGUAGUC
This 460-nucleotide ribosomal RNA is filed under the name uncultured bacterium. RNAcentral describes it as "partial 16S ribosomal RNA". It matches the Rfam family "Bacterial small subunit ribosomal RNA", at positions 338 to 795 of the family's 1533-position model. The record is from RNAcentral.